This 486-nucleotide ribosomal RNA is filed under the name uncultured bacterium. RNAcentral describes it as "partial 16S ribosomal RNA". It matches the Rfam family "Bacterial small subunit ribosomal RNA", at positions 30 to 507 of the family's 1533-position model. The record is from RNAcentral.
AUUGAACGCUGGCGACAUGCCUUACACAUGCAAGUCGAACGGCAGCACGGGUGCUUGCACCUGGUGGCGAGUGGCGAACGGGUGAGUAAUACAUCGGAACAUGUCCUGUAGUGGGGGAUAGCCCGGCGAAAGCCGGAUUAAUACCGCAUACGAUCUACGGAUGAAAGCGGGGGCCCUUCGGGCCUCGCGCUAUAGGGUUGGCCGAUGGCUGAUUAGCUAGUUGGUGGGGUAAAGGCCUACCAAGGCGACGAUCAGUAGCUGGUCUGAGAGGACGACCAGUCACACUGGGACUGAGACACGGCCCAGACUCCUACGGGAGGCAGCAGUGGGGAAUUUUGGACAAUGGGCGAAAGCCUGAUCCAGCAAUGCCGCGUGUGUGAAGAAGGCCUUCGGGUUGUAAAGCACUUUUGUCCGGAAAGAAAUCCUUGGCCCUAAUACGGUCGGGGGAUGACGGUACCGGAAGAAUAAGCACCGGCUAACUACGUG